This 498-nucleotide ribosomal RNA is filed under the name uncultured bacterium. RNAcentral's name for it is "partial 16S ribosomal RNA". It matches the Rfam family "Bacterial small subunit ribosomal RNA", at positions 28 to 507 of the family's 1533-position model. The record is from RNAcentral.
GACGAACGCUGGCGGCGUGCCUAAUACAUGCAAGUCGAACGAGAGCGACCGGUGCUUUCACUGUUCAAUCUAGUGGCGAACGGGUGAGUAACACGUGGGUAACCUGCCCAUCAGAGGGGGAUAACAUUCGGAAACGGGUGCUAAAACCGCAUAGGUCUUCGAACCGCAUGGUUUGAAGAGGAAAAGAGGCGCAAGCUUCUGCUGAUGGAUGGACCCGCGGUGCAUUAGCUAGUUGGUGAGGUAACGGCUCACCAAGGCCGUGAUGCAUAGCCGACCUGAGAGGGUGAUCGGCCACAUUGGGACUGAGACACGGCCCAAACUCCUACGGGAGGCAGCAGUAGGGAAUCUUCCGCAAUGGACGCAAGUCUGACGGAGCAACGCCGCGUGAGUGAAGAAGGUUUUCGGAUCGUAAAACUCUGUUGUUAGAGAAGAAUAAGUGCUAGAGUAACUGUUAGCGCCUUGACGGUAUCUAACCAGAAAGCCACGGCUAACUACGUG